This 403-nucleotide ribosomal RNA is filed under the name uncultured bacterium. Its description in RNAcentral is "bacterial SSU rRNA". It matches the Rfam family "Bacterial small subunit ribosomal RNA", at positions 28 to 433 of the family's 1533-position model. The record is from RNAcentral.
GACGAACGCUGGCGGCGUGCUUAACACAUGCAAGUCGAGCGGUAAGGCCCUUUCGGGGGUACACGAGCGGCGAACGGGUGAGUAACACGUGGGUGACCUGCCCUCAGCUCUGGGAUAAGCCUGGGAAACGUGGUCUAAUACCGGAUAUGACUCCAUGACGCAUGUUGUGGGGUGGAAAGCCUUGUGCGGCUGAGGAUGGGCCCCGCGGCCUAUCAGCUUGUUGGUGGGGUGANGGCCUACCAAGGCGACGACGGGUAGCCGGCCUGAGAGGGCGACCGGCCACACUGGGACUGAGACACGGCCCAGACUCCUACGGGAGGCAGCAGUGGGGAAUCUUGCGCAAUGGGCGAAAGCCUGACGCAGCGACGCCGCGUGAGGGAUGACGGCCUCGGUUGUAACGUAC